UACGGAGGAUCCGAGCGUUAUCCGGAUUUACUGGGUUUAAAGGGUGCGUAGGCGGCCCUGCAAGUCAGCGGUGAAAUGUGGCGGCUCAACCGUUUCGCUGCCGCUGAUACUGCGGGGCUUGGAUUCGGUCGAGGCGGGUGGAAUUCGUGGUGUAGCGGUGAAAUGCAUAGAUAUCACGAGGAACGCCGAUAGCGAAGGCAGCUCGCCGGGCCGCGAUCGACGCUGAGGCACGAAAGCGUGGGGAUCAAACAGG
RNAcentral lists this ribosomal RNA (253 nucleotides) under uncultured bacterium. Its description in RNAcentral is "partial 16S ribosomal RNA". It matches the Rfam family "Bacterial small subunit ribosomal RNA", at positions 524 to 776 of the family's 1533-position model. The record is from RNAcentral.